RNAcentral lists this ribosomal RNA (253 nucleotides) under uncultured bacterium. RNAcentral's name for it is "partial 16S ribosomal RNA". It matches the Rfam family "Bacterial small subunit ribosomal RNA", at positions 524 to 776 of the family's 1533-position model. The record is from RNAcentral.
UACGUAGGGGGCAAGCGUUGUCCGGAUUUACUGGGCGUAAAGCGCGCGUAGGCGGGAAGCGAAGUCCGGUGGGAAAGCCCACGGCUCAACCGUGGAAGAACGCUGGAAACUCUCUUUCUUGAGGGCGGCAGAGGGAAGUGGAAUUGCUGGUGUAGCGGUGAAAUGCGCAGAUAUCAGGAGGAACACCAAUGGCGAAGGCAGCUCGCUGGGACGUGACUGACGCUGAGACGCGAAAGCGUGGGGAGCAAACAGG